UUACCCCUACGGGGCGCAGCAGUGAGGAAUAUUGGUCAAUGGCCGAGAGGCUGAACCAGCCAAGUCGCGUGAGGGAAGACGGCCCUACGGGUUGUAAACCUCUUUUGCCGGGGAGCAGUGGUCCGGACGCGUCCGGACCGGGAGAGUACCCGGAGAAAAAGCAUCGGCUAACUCCGUGCCAGCAGCCGCGGUAAUACGGAGGAUGCGAGCGUUAUCCGGAUUUAUUGGGUUUAAAGGGUGCGUAGGCGGGCAUUUAAGCCGGCGGUCAAAUGUCGGGGCUCAACCCCGGCCUGCCGUCGGAACUG
RNAcentral lists this ribosomal RNA (305 nucleotides) under uncultured bacterium. RNAcentral's name for it is "bacterial SSU rRNA". It matches the Rfam family "Bacterial small subunit ribosomal RNA", at positions 333 to 635 of the family's 1533-position model. The record is from RNAcentral.